CGAACGAGAGUGAUUUCUAUUUUAUUCAUGACCACUUCAUCAAAAAUUUUCAAUCAAAAACUGAUGGAAAAGCAACAUA
Molecule: non-coding RNA, 79 nt
Organism: Caenorhabditis elegans
Lineage: Eukaryota; Metazoa; Nematoda; Chromadorea; Rhabditida; Rhabditidae
Source: Ensembl